GACGAACGCUGGCGGCGUGCUUAACACAUGCAAGUCGAACGGAAAGGCCCUGCUUUUGUGGGGUGCUCGAGUGGCGAACGGGUGAGUAACACGUGAGUAACCUGCCCUUGACUUUGGGAUAACUUCAGGAAACUGGGGCUAAUACCGGAUAUGAGCUCCUGCUGCAUGGUGGGGGUUGGAAAGUUUCGGCGGUUGGGGAUGGACUCGCAGCUUAUCAGCUUGUUGGUGGGGUAGUGGCUUACCAAGGCUUUGACGGGUAGCCGGCCUGAGAGGGUGACCGGCCACAUUGGGACUGAGAUACGGCCCAGACUCCUACGGGAGGCAGCAGUGGGGAAUAUUGCACAAUGGGCGGAAGCCUGAUGCAGCAACGCCGCGUGCGGGAUGACGGCCUUCGGGUUGUAAACCGCUUUCGCCUGUGACGAAGCGUGAGUGACGGUAAUGGGUAAAGAAGCACCGGCUAACUACGUG
This 468-nucleotide ribosomal RNA is filed under the name uncultured bacterium. RNAcentral's name for it is "partial 16S ribosomal RNA". It matches the Rfam family "Bacterial small subunit ribosomal RNA", at positions 28 to 507 of the family's 1533-position model. The record is from RNAcentral.